RNAcentral lists this ribosomal RNA (67 nucleotides) under Rhizopus stolonifer. Its description in RNAcentral is "partial 28S ribosomal RNA". The record is from RNAcentral. Lineage: Eukaryota; Fungi; Mucoromycota; Mucoromycetes; Mucorales; Rhizopodaceae.
AGAGUUUUUAAAUAAAUUCUUUUUUCAUUUGAUCUGAAGUCAAGUGGGAUUACCCGCUGAUUUCAAU